GUGUGAGGACCCACCUAGAAGUCACCAUCUAUGAAGCAGGAAGCAGGCCCUCAGCAGACAUGAAAUCUCCUGGUGCUUUGAUUUGGACUUCCCAGCCUCUAGAACUAGGCCAAGAAACUUGAAAAAGUGAUAGAAGCAGGGUACCUUUUGCAUCAUCAAACACAGCUCAGGUGUCUUCUGAGAAGUCAUUUUGAUACAGUAUGAAUUCAAUAAGACAAGUCUUCCAUUGAGCAUGCUUGGGUACUGGUGAGGAAUCACCUGGGGUUGUUACCAUUGAGAACUAGCAGAACAGUAACCAUCAUUUGCUCCAAUGACACACGGUGCAUCUCUUAUGCUAUUAGAAGCAGGACAGCUGGAUAUAAGCAACCAGGUACAGCUGGAAUAGAAAAGAUAGACAGUGGAUUCUUUGGCUUCAUCCAAGUGGGCUGAGGAUUGAAGUAUUUUUCCAGUCAUGUUCUUGAACACCUACUUUCAUGGCAUGCUGACAUUUCCAGACUACUGAAGAUGUGAUGAUUAACUGAUCCUGCAUUUGAUGAAAAAAAAAGUUUGCACAUUCCAAAGGAGAUAGGUUUCAAAUGACUAUAUAGGGUACAAUUUCCACUGAAGUGAUUUCUCUUAAUCUUAAUCCUUAACCACUCUCAUUGCUACAGUACCUUCCAAAAAUUAGGAGCCGGGGAGGGAUGAGAAGUUAAUUGAGCUGAGCAUCUCAGGAACAGGAAGUCACAGCUGAGCAGCGAGAGUUGAUUCCACCAAGAAAAGAA
RNAcentral lists this long non-coding RNA (761 nucleotides) under Homo sapiens (human). RNAcentral's name for it is "non-protein coding LINC02060:6". The record is from RNAcentral. Lineage: Eukaryota; Metazoa; Chordata; Mammalia; Primates; Hominidae.